RNAcentral lists this ribosomal RNA (330 nucleotides) under uncultured bacterium. RNAcentral describes it as "bacterial SSU rRNA". It matches the Rfam family "Bacterial small subunit ribosomal RNA", at positions 30 to 361 of the family's 1533-position model. The record is from RNAcentral.
AUUGAACGCUGGCGGCAUGCCUUACACAUGCAAGUCGAACGGUAACAGGUCUUCGGAUGCUGACGAGUGGCGAACGGGGUGAGUAAUACAUCGGAACGUGCCCGAUCGUGGGGGAUAACGCAGCGAAAGCUGUGCUAAUACCGCAUACGAUCUACGGAUGAAAGCGGGGGAUCGCAAGACCUCGCGCGGACGGAGCGGCCGAUGGCAGAUUAGGUAGUUGGUGGGAUAAAAGACUUACCAAGCCGACGAUCUGUAGCUGGUCUGAGAGGACGACCAGCCACACUGGACUGAGACACGGUCCAGACUCCUACGGGAGGCAGCAGUGGGGAA